This 761-nucleotide long non-coding RNA is filed under the name Cricetulus griseus (Chinese hamster). Its description in RNAcentral is "lncRNA (ENSCGRG00000025538.1)". Lineage: Eukaryota; Metazoa; Chordata; Mammalia; Rodentia; Cricetidae. The record is from RNAcentral.
AGCUCCACACUCUCCUGGGGUUCUGACCAGGAUAUCAAAGUGUUCCUUAUUAAGAUACUGAAGACGAGAAGCCACUUGGGGAGUAGUUGUUGGGAUCACCACACAGAGAUGUCCCAAGCAUAAAUGGAUCUUCAGUCCUGGCUUAUAGAAGAGGCUUGGCUUAGAGAUACGGAUGCAGACAAAUUUCAGACUAACUGAAAACUGUGGGUUAAGAGUGAGAAGAAUCUAGGCCCAAGCUCUGCAAAUAGUCACAAAGAAAGGGAAGCUGAGACCUUUCUUCUUCCUGGAGGUAGCAUCUCAGAAGUGAAGGAGGAAACUUCAAAAGGAAGGAAAGGUCAACCAUGUCCAAUGCUGUCAAGAGUUCAAGGGAGGAACUGAAAGACCACGAAGUAGCUGUUGAAAGCAGUGACAGGCUGACCUUGAACUCACUAGGCAGCCCAGGUUGACCCUGAACUCCUGAUGGUCCUACCUCAGUGCUAAGGUGCUGAGUGCUAUGAUGAUAAGGUUAAGUCAUCUUGCCUGGAUAAGCCCUGUAAGCCUUCAUUUCCUCCUCUGCAAUAUGUGCAUCAAAGUGCCUACCUCAACUGGCUGAUGUGAGAGUUAAAUGCGAUAAUUCAAAACUCUUAGUAUUAAGGCUCAGCUACCACCGCUUACUUACUGGUACCGUAGUGUGAUGCAUACAUCAAACUCUGGGAUAAGUGUUCUUCCACAGAUGAUGAAUCUGGGGCUGGGAGAUGGGAGCACAGAGACAUCUAGAAGGC